Long non-coding RNA from Odontomachus brunneus, 439 nucleotides. RefSeq lists it as uncharacterized. The transcript has 3 exons. Lineage: Eukaryota; Metazoa; Arthropoda; Insecta; Hymenoptera; Formicidae. The record is from RefSeq and is a predicted model, not a curated record.
CAGCUCUGUUUGAAAAUGAGAGAACGUAGUUCCACCUAAAAAAUGGGUGCAGAUGGCGCAUCGAACCAGCGUGAAAAUCGGUGUCGGCCGAAACGUAUGACGUGGCCGCUCUCAGGCUUCUCUCUGACUAAAAUAAAUAGGUUUCUAUACAAAUUAUCAUCUCCUGAAGGACAAAUAACAAGGCUGACAUUUAAAAAAUUAAAAAGAAAACUCUAGAGCCUAAUUAAUAAUCAAGGACUAACAAGAGCCUGUAUAGUGUAAUUGCUACGAUAAACCGUAAUCCUUUGUAAUAAGAUGAAAUAAGAAGUAGAUAAUAUUAAUCACCUGUUCAAGAAAAUAAAAAUACCUCUUCUUGUCCACUCACCGCUUCUUUAAUUUGUCCGCGAUACGUUGAGGUCCAAAAUAAUCACACGAGUUAGAUUUUCACUCGCACGAUGAA